GGGCGCGGGUCGACGGGUCCUGAGCGCGGGUCUGGGCUGCUCCUUGCGGGCCUGGGCUUCUCCUUGCGGUUCUGGGCCGCUGCUGGACGGGCCUGGGCGGCUGGGCCGCGUUUUUGAGCCCAAGCAAGGGCUGUUUUGUUUUUCAGCCUUUUUUAGGCGUUUUUGGGCAUUUUUUUGUCCAUUUUUUUAUUUAUUUUAUUUUCUUUUAAAAUAGAAUAGAUGUUGGGUUUCCACGAAUGGGUCACGAAGAAUUUUAAUUCUUUUAUUACUGUUCUUUGCAUGUCGUGGUUGUUAAUCCCUUAUGCUCUUUACCUGCUUUUGCACGUCUUUGCUUGUUAAUAUUUGUUUAUUAAUUGCGCUUAGACGAGCAUGAUAGUAGGUUUGCCGUUUUC
Molecule: long non-coding RNA, 392 nt
Filed under: Salvia miltiorrhiza (redroot sage)
Lineage: Eukaryota; Viridiplantae; Streptophyta; Magnoliopsida; Lamiales; Lamiaceae
Description: long non-coding RNA (SMIL_LNC011019)
Source: RNAcentral